UACGGAGGGUGCAAGCGUUAUCCGGAUUCACUGGGUUUAAAGGGCGCGUAGGCGGUCAGCACAAGUCAGUUGUGAAAUCUCCGGGCUUAACUCGGAAAGGUCAACUGAUACUGUGCGACUAGAGUGCAGAAGGGGCAACUGGAAUUCUCGGUGUAGCGGUGAAAUGCGUAGAUAUCGAGAGGAACACCUGCGGCGAAGGCGGGUUGCUGGGCUGACACUGACGCUGAGGCGCGAAAGCCAGGGGAGCGAACGGG
This 254-nucleotide ribosomal RNA is filed under the name uncultured bacterium. Its description in RNAcentral is "partial 16S ribosomal RNA". It matches the Rfam family "Bacterial small subunit ribosomal RNA", at positions 524 to 776 of the family's 1533-position model. The record is from RNAcentral.